RNAcentral lists this long non-coding RNA (257 nucleotides) under Cicer arietinum (chickpea). RNAcentral's name for it is "long non-coding RNA (CARI_LNC000916)". The record is from RNAcentral. Lineage: Eukaryota; Viridiplantae; Streptophyta; Magnoliopsida; Fabales; Fabaceae.
AACAUUAUCCAUAGUUCAUGCUAUGAUGAUGAAUAAAACUUCAUUAGUAAAUGCGUUUAAGGCCAAUAAUUGUCACAUAUACCACCUUAUUUCACAAAAAGAUAAAAGAUUCAUAUUGUUAUAGCAGCAAGGUUCAUCAAGUCUCAAGAUAAAAGACCCAUAUUGUUAUAGCAGCAAGGUUCAUCAAGUCUCAAGAUCACCAACAACGUUCAUGAAUUACAAAAUUCAUUUAUGAAUUACAUUUAGCUACAAAAUUC